This 253-nucleotide ribosomal RNA is filed under the name uncultured bacterium. RNAcentral's name for it is "partial 16S ribosomal RNA". It matches the Rfam family "Bacterial small subunit ribosomal RNA", at positions 524 to 776 of the family's 1533-position model. The record is from RNAcentral.
UACGUAGGGGGCAAGCGUUGUCCGGAUUUAUUGGGCGUAAAGAGCGUGUAGGCGGCCAAGCAGGUCCGCUGUGAAAACUCGAGGCUCAACCUCGAGACGUCGGUGGAAACCGUUUGGCUAGAGUCCGGAAGAGGAGAGUGGAAUUCCCGGUGUAGCGGUGAAAUGCGCAGAUAUCGGGAAGAACACCCGUGGCGAAGGCGGCUCUCUGGGACGGUACUGACGCUGAGAGACGAAAGCUAGGGGAGCGAAUGGG